UGGGGAAUAUUGGACAAUGGGCGAAAGCCUGAUCCAGCCAUGCCGCGUGUGUGAAGAAGGUCUUCGGAUUGUAAAGCACUUUAAGUUGGGAGGAAGGGCAGUAAGCGAAUACCUUGCUGUUUUGACGUUACCGACAGAAUAAGCACCGGCUAACUCUGUGCCAGCAGCCGCGGUAAUACAGAGGGUGCAAGCGUUAAUCGGAAUUACUGGGCGUAAAGCGCGCGUAGGUGGUUCGUUAAGUUGAAUGUGAAAGCCCCGGGCUCAACCUGGGAACUGCAUCCAAAACUGGCGCGCUAUAGUAGGGCAGAGGGUGGUGGAAUUUCCUGUGUAGCGGUAGAAUGCGUAGAUAUAGUAAGGAUCACCAGUGGCGAAGGCGAACACCUGGGCGCAUACUGACACUGAGGUGCGAAAGCGUGGGGAGCAAACAGG
Molecule: ribosomal RNA, 429 nt
Filed under: Pseudomonadota bacterium
Lineage: Bacteria; Pseudomonadati; Pseudomonadota
Description: Proteobacteria bacterium partial 16S ribosomal RNA
Rfam family: Bacterial small subunit ribosomal RNA
Source: RNAcentral